Molecule: transfer RNA, 65 nt
Filed under: Hydatina physis
Lineage: Eukaryota; Metazoa; Mollusca; Gastropoda; Aplustridae
Description: tRNA-His
Source: RNAcentral
UCAGUUCUAAUUUAAGUAAAAAUAUGAAUUUGUGGCAUUCAAAAUAGGUGUACGCCUGAAUUGAU